This 241-nucleotide unclassified non-coding RNA is filed under the name Sarocladium bactrocephalum. RNAcentral describes it as "partial internal transcribed spacer region". The stretch from base 1 to 46 matches the Rfam family "Eukaryotic small subunit ribosomal RNA", at positions 1786 to 1831 of the family's 1831-position model. The record is from RNAcentral. Lineage: Eukaryota; Fungi; Ascomycota; Sordariomycetes; Hypocreales; Sarocladiaceae.
AAGUCGUAACAAGGUCUCCGUUGGUGAACCAGCGGAGGGAUCAUUACCAGAGUGCCAUAGGCUCUCCAACCCAUUGUGAACUUACCAAACGUUCCCUCGGCGGGCUCAGCGCGCGGCGGCCUCCGGGCCUCCGGGCGUCCGCCGGGGAAAACCAAACCCUGUUUUAAUCGUAUUUCUCUGAGGGGCGAAAGCCCGAAAACAAAAUGAAUCAAAACUUUCAACAACGGAUCUCUUGGCUCUG